This 394-nucleotide ribosomal RNA is filed under the name uncultured bacterium. RNAcentral describes it as "partial 16S ribosomal RNA". It matches the Rfam family "Bacterial small subunit ribosomal RNA", at positions 523 to 918 of the family's 1533-position model. The record is from RNAcentral.
AUACGUAGGGGACGAGCGUUGUCCGGAAUUACUGGGCGUAAAGGGCGCGCAGGCGGAUAUUUAAGUCAGCUGUAAAAGGCAUGAGCUCAACUCAUGUAUGCGGUUGAAACUGGGUAUCUAGAGUGCUGGAGAGGUAGGCGGAAUUUCCGGUGUAGCGGUGAAAUGCGUAGAUAUCGGGAAGAACACCAGUGGCGAAGGCGGCUUACUGGCCAGCAACUGACGCUGAGGCGCGAAAGCCAGGGGAGCGAACGGGAUUAGAUACCCCGGUAGUCCUGGCCGUAAACGAUGAAUGCUAGGUGUGGGUGUCGAGAGGCAUCCGUGCCGGAGUUAACGCGAUAAGCAUUCCGCCUGGGGAGUACGAUCGCAAGAUUGAAACUCAAAUGAAUUGGCGGGG